RNAcentral lists this ribosomal RNA (1371 nucleotides) under uncultured organism. RNAcentral's name for it is "bacterial SSU rRNA". It matches the Rfam family "Bacterial small subunit ribosomal RNA", at positions 49 to 1398 of the family's 1533-position model. The record is from RNAcentral.
UAACACAUGCAAGUCAAGGAGAAAGGGAUUCUUCGGAUUCCUGAGUAAACUGGCGGAUGGGUGAGUAACACGUAGGUAAUCUGCCUUUCGGACCGGGAUAACACGGCUAACGCGGUGCUAAUACCGGAUGUAGCGUUUGGAUCGCCUGAUUUGGGCGUGAAAGGUUGGCUUUUGCUAACGCCGAGAGAUGAGCCUGCGUCCCAUUAGCUAGUUGGUGAGGUAACGGCUCACCAAGGCAACGAUGGGUAGCCGGCCUGAGAGGGUGAACGGCCACACUGGGACUGAGAUACGGCCCAGACUCCUACGGGAGACAGCAGUGAGGAAUAUUGCGCGAUGGACGAAAGUCUGACGCAGCAACGCCGCGUGAGGGAUGAAGCUCUUAGGAGUGUAAACCUUUUUUAGGAGGGAAGAACGGGUAGCAUUCGAACAGGGUGUUACUGUGACGGUACCUCCAGAAUAAGCCCCGGCUAACUCCGUGCCAGCAGCCGCGGUAAUACGGGGGGGGCUAGCGUUGUCCGGAAUUAUUGGGCGUAAAGGGCGCGUAGGCGGGAUAGUCAGUCUGAGGUGAAAGCCCAGGGCUUAACUCUGGGUUUGCCUUGGAUACUGCUAUUCUUGAGUUCGGCAGAGGGAAGUGGAAUUCCUGGUGUAGCGGUGAAAUGCGUAGAUCUCAGGAAGAACACCGGUGGCGAAGGCGGCUUCCUGGUCCGAUACUGACGCUGAGGCGCGAAAGCGUGGGGAGCGAACAGGAUUAGAUACCCUGGUAGUCCACGCUGUUAACGAUGGGCACUAGCUUCUUGGCUAUUGAUUUCAGCGCCGGAGCUAACCGCUUUAAGUGCCCCGCUGGGGAAUACGAUUCGCAGAUUGAAACUCAAAGGAAUUGACGGGGGCCCGCACAAGCGGUGGAGCAUGUGGUUUAAUUCGAAUCAACGCCGAAGGACCGUACCUGGGCUUGAAUGGCAUUCCUGACGAGUCUCUGAAAGGGGACGUUCCUUCGGGACAGGUGUAGAGGUGCUGCAUGCCUGUCGUCAGCUCGUGCCGUGAGGUGUUGGGUUAAGUCCACGCAAUCGAGCGCAACUCCUGCCCUUAUUUGCCAACAGGUAAAGCUGGGAACUCUUAAGGGGACUGCCCCGGAUAACGGGGAGGAAGGUGGGGAUGACGUCAAGUCAUCAUGGCCCUUACGUCCAGGGCUACACACGUGCUACAAUGGCCGGUACAGAGGUUAGCGAACCCGCGAGGCGAAGCCAAUCCCCAAAACCGGUCUCAGUUCGGAUUGUAGUCUGCAACUCGACUGCAUGAAGUUGGAAUCGCUAGUAAUCGCGGAUCAGCAUGCCGCGGUGAAUACGUUCCCGGGCCUUGUACACACCGCCCGUC